RNAcentral lists this ribosomal RNA (468 nucleotides) under uncultured bacterium. RNAcentral describes it as "partial 16S ribosomal RNA". It matches the Rfam family "Bacterial small subunit ribosomal RNA", at positions 28 to 507 of the family's 1533-position model. The record is from RNAcentral.
GACGAACGCUGGCGGCGUGCUUAACACAUGCAAGUCGAACGGAAAGGCCCUGCUUUUGUGGGGUGCUCGAGUGGCGAACGGAUGAGUAACACGUGAGUAACCUGCCCUUGACUUUGGGAUAACUUCAGGAAACUGGGGCUAAUACCGGAUAGGAGCUCCUGCUGAAUGGUGGGGGUUGGAAAGUUUCGGCGGUUGGGGAUGGACUCGCGGCUUAUCAGCUUGUUGGUGGGGUAGUGGCUUACCAAGGCUUUGACGGGUAGCCGGCCUGAGAGGGUGACCGGCCACAUUGGGACUGAGAUACGGCCCAGACUCCUACGGGAGGCAGCAGUGGGGAAUAUUGCACAAUGGGCGGAAGCCUGAUGCAGCAACGCCGCGUGCGGGAUGACGGCCUUCGGGUUGUAAACCGCUUUCGCCUGUGACGAAGCGUGAGUGACGGUAAUGGGUAAAGAAGCACCGGCUAACUACGUG